RNAcentral lists this ribosomal RNA (788 nucleotides) under uncultured eukaryote. RNAcentral's name for it is "SSU rRNA". It matches the Rfam family "Eukaryotic small subunit ribosomal RNA", at positions 69 to 873 of the family's 1831-position model. The record is from RNAcentral.
AUGGAUUAUACGUGAAACUGCGAAUGGCUCAUUAAAUCAGUUAUAGUUUAUUUGAUAAUAUCCCUUACUUGGAUACCCGUAAUAAUUUUAGAGCUAAUACAUGCGUAAAAGUGCGACUUUUCGGAAGCACUGUAUUUAUUAGAUACAAAACCAUCCAGCUUCGGCUGCUACCUUGGUGAUUCAUAAUAACUUAACGAAUCGUAUGACUUUAUGUCGACGAUGAUUCAUUCAAAUUUCUGCCCUAUCAACUUUCGAUGGUAAGGUAUUGGCUUACCAUGGUUACAACGGGUGACGGAGAAUUAGGGUUCGAUUCCGGAGAGGGAGCCUGAGAAACGGCUACCACUUCUACGGAGGGCAGCAGGCGCGCAAAUUACCCAAUCCUGACUCAGGGAGGUAGUGACGAAUAAUAACGAUACGUGACUUCGGUCUAGUAAUUGGAAUGAGUACAAUUUAAACCCCUUAAUGAAAGCCAUUGGAGGGCAAGUCUGGUGCCAGCAGCCGCGGUAAUUCCAGCUCCAAUAGCGUAUAUUAAAGUUGUUGCAGUUAAAAAGCUCGUAGUUGGAUGUUGUGGUUUGUUAAAUUCGGUGCCUUUUGGUACCCGUUUUAGCAGCUACUUUUUCUCGAGGCAUAUGGGUGCACUUAACCGUGUGUUUAUAUUGUUCGGGACUUUUACCGUGAGAAAAUUAGAGUGUUCAUAGCAGGCUAGUGCUUGAAUAUUACAGCAUGGAAUAAUGGAAUAGGAUCAUGAUCUUAUUUUGUUGGUUUCUAAGAUCAAGAUAAUGAUUAAU